GCAUUAUAGUAAGGUGUUUGCUUGAAUAUACGUUGACUCUAGGUACACGGCAAACAUCACUAUAUCUCAUUAAACGUACUUGUAACUCCGUGCACACGUGACUCCACUCUGACCUGUCUAUUGGUUCCCAUGGUUAUUACCCGAGUCCCGGUAUGGUAUCGAGCGAGAGACGCCGGGUUAUAACACCUCCUCCUAAAUAUUCAGAUAUUUACGCUAAUCCUGCCGAGAACACGAUUGAUCUGCCCUCAUAUGAGUGGGAAACAUUCGAACUACCAUACCUUUGCCAUUUUGGGAGCGAAAGUAUACCUGUGUACUGUGUGCGUUGUCACAGAAACAUUCACACAUAUGUGACAUACGACAGUGGUUUUACCACUUGGUUAUCUUGCACUGUUCUGGCACUUAGUGGGUGUGUAUUCGGGUGCUGCCUGAUUCCUUUCUUCAUGAAGGAAACUAAAGACGCUACUCACAUGUGUCCUAACUGUCACUUUCUAUUGGGACAUUUCAUUCGGGACUGACUGAUAUGUAGGGGACUAAAUGUUUGAUCAAAGUCUUGUGCAUCUUGUACAUCUGUAAAAACGAGUGUGUUUCUUCAUCGGUCGAUUGAAAAGUCGUUUAAAAAGCCAGUCGGCUAACACCACAUUUGGUAUAGUUGUGAAAUUAUUUGUUUUGCUGAUUAGAUAAUAACGCUUACAGGAUGUUUAAUUUAUGUUAUUUCGGGCGGGGACUCCUCUUGACAUGGAAUUGUUGAUCUUAAAACGUAUGAAAUUUGCAGUAGAGAUGAGGGUAAACUAAUAGUUCACUGAAAUACCAAAUCGUUCUUAAUAACCUGUAUUGACUAUUGAGAUGGCACAUGGAUGGUAACGUAUUACACAUUCAACAUUGAUCAUGUUUACAAGUUCAAAAUUAUUUGUUUA
Molecule: long non-coding RNA, 914 nt
Organism: Bolinopsis microptera
Lineage: Eukaryota; Metazoa; Ctenophora; Tentaculata; Lobata; Bolinopsidae
Exons: 4
Source: RefSeq, a predicted model, not a curated record